This 323-nucleotide ribosomal RNA is filed under the name uncultured bacterium. RNAcentral's name for it is "bacterial SSU rRNA". It matches the Rfam family "Bacterial small subunit ribosomal RNA", at positions 191 to 507 of the family's 1533-position model. The record is from RNAcentral.
AAAAGAGAUUUAAAAGGAUUUUAUACGGUGGAUGGAUGGGGAUGCGUCUGAUUAGCUUGUUGGCGGGGUAACGGCCCACCAAGGCGACGAUCAGUAGGGGUUCUGAGAGGAAGGUCCCCCACAUUGGAACUGAGACACGGUCCAAACUCCUACGGGAGGCAGCAGGUGAGGAAUAUUGGUCGAAUGGACGAGAGUCUGAACCAGCCAAGUAGCGUGCAGGAAGACGGCCCUAUGGGUUGUAAACUGCGUUUUAUAAGGGAAUAAAGUGAGUCUCGUGAGACUUUUUGCAUGUACCUUAUGAAUAAGGACCGGCUAAUUCCGUG